RNAcentral lists this ribosomal RNA (154 nucleotides) under Haemophilus influenzae. RNAcentral describes it as "partial 23S ribosomal RNA". It matches the Rfam family "Bacterial large subunit ribosomal RNA", at positions 593 to 749 of the family's 2925-position model. The record is from RNAcentral. Lineage: Bacteria; Pseudomonadati; Pseudomonadota; Gammaproteobacteria; Pasteurellales; Pasteurellaceae.
GUGACUGCGUACCUUUUGUAUAAUGGGUCAGCGACUUAUAUUUUGUAGCGAGGUUAACCGAAUAGGGGAGCCGAAGGGAAACCGAGUCUUAACUGGGCGUCUAGUUGCAAGGUAUAGACCCGAAACCCGGUGAUCUAGCCAUGGGCAGGUUGAA